This 300-nucleotide ribosomal RNA is filed under the name uncultured bacterium. RNAcentral describes it as "bacterial SSU rRNA". It matches the Rfam family "Bacterial small subunit ribosomal RNA", at positions 1082 to 1382 of the family's 1533-position model. The record is from RNAcentral.
AAGUCCCGCAACGAGCGCAACCCCUAUCAUCUGUUGCCAGCAUUUAAGGUGGGGACUCAGAUGAGACUGCCGGUGACAAACCGGAGGAAGGUGGGGACGACGUCAAGUCAUCAUGGCCCUUAUGUCCUGGGCUACACACGUGCUACAAUGGCCGGUACAGAGUGAAGCGAAACCGCGAGGUGAAGCAAAACGCAGAAAGCCGGUCUCAGUACGGAUUGGAGUCUGAAACUCGACUUCAUGAAGUUGGAAUCGCUAGUAAUCGCGCAUCAGCAUGGCGCGGUGAAUACGUUCCCGGGCCUU